AAGCAUGGUCUUCCUAACUCUUAUAUUUGUGGGUGUUUAUUUGUUCCUUGUUUUUCUCCUAGCAGCCCCAGUGACCUUGCAGAUGGUGGUCAUGAGUCCUGGCAGGAUCUGGAGGCCGAGGCUGAGCUGUCAUCAGUCCUGUGAUCCUUGGAGGAGGGGAAAUGCCCCACAGAAGAUUGCCUUGGCCUCUGUGUGACACUGCUGUCUCCGGGAAUCACAAGCCACACUGCAGGAAGUAGGAAAAGGUGCCCUCUUGGGACACCGCAGCUGUCCUCAACCUGUGGACCCCUGGCCAUGAAUGUGACGAAUCCCAGGAAAGAUGACCAGAGCCAGUGUCCUGGAUCACGCAGCUGAGAAGCAGGCGGCUCAGGGACCAGGCUACAAUUCUAACUUCCUGUGACUGCAAGAUUUGAAUUCAAGUCUCCAUUUACCUCCACCUAGACAUAAUUUUACUGGGACUCAGUUUCCCCAGUUAUAAAAGGAAAGUUGCAGAAUUACAUGCUCUGCAGUUGCUGCCUAGUUUUGUUCAUCGACCACAACAACCUCCCGGGCCCCGGGAUACUUCUUAAGAAUAUUCAUUUCUGAAGCAGCAAGGUUAGCACAGGCCUAGAAUCCUAGCAUUUCAGGAGGCUGUGAGAGGAGGAUCAUAAACUCAAACCCAGUGUAGGUGAUUGAAAGAAAGCUUGUGUCAAAAUUGAAAAAAAGCUGAAGAUGAAACUCAAAGUGAAAGUCCUAGGUUUAAUCCCCAGUACUGAUUAAAAAAAAAAGUGGGGGAAUAGUUAUUUCUAACCUCACUCCAACCUGUAGGACCCCAGUUCCCGAUGAUGGGCUUGAGAUUUUGCUUCUGUCUGCUUAACCAACAGCCUAGGAGAUUCUUACCAUCAGAUAAGUUUCUGGCAUCUAAUCCUGUGGAACUUUUGUGCAAAGGAGGUUCCCAGAAGACAGAGAUCAAAAAGAAAGUCCAAGCAGGACUGUGGUGACUGUUUCAACAGUAACGAGAGUCCUUUCUCACCCCCUCCCCAUCUAACCAGCGAGCCCCAGUGUUUCCUGGAUGUCAUUGUGAGCCCCAGUUUGUUUUCCCUGUGCCUCUGUCCCACCGCAGUCCAUCAGGGUUUCCUCUUCCUACUUGGGUUCUCUUAGUCCUCAGUUCCAGGUUUCAGGAAAAUGCACACCUUGCUGCAGUGGGAAAGAGGGGACCCGGGGCACCCAGGAAGAGACACAGAGCUUCCGCCUGACCUGGCUGUGCAGCCUCCAGGGGAACUGCCCACAGGCUCAGGCCUCGGAACCCCCAACCCUGCCUUGCGGGGUUUUAUGGAUGCUCUGUUGCCACAUGCAUGAUCAGAGCAAGGACAAGUAUGUAGAAAUCUGAGUGGAUAAACAGGGUUAUCUGAUCUUGCAGACGGUCUGGGGAAAGCCAGACCGGCCUGUCCAGAGUCCUCUGAGGCCCUGGUGCAGCACCCUUCCUCCUGGGCAGGGGCAGAGCUUGCUGGACUACUAUCAGCUAUCUGCCAAGACAGCUUACAGAAUCUUCACCACCAGCUCCAAGGCAGACAGUCAGGGAAGAUCAGAGUUUUAUGGCUUGUACUGGGGAAGAGCAAUUCUGGUUCCUGCAGUCUGCCUCAGGGAAGGAACUGUGAGCCAGAAAUCAUAGUGGAAGCCAAACUAUGAGUAUCAUGUAUCAAGCCUUCUGCUAAAGAACGCAUGGGCAGGCUUUUAAAAAAAUGUUUUACUUUAAAGAGAACAAAACAAACAAGAACAGAACAAAGCAAAUCAGAACAAAACAAUGCAAACAACACAGUACCUUCACGACAAGACAACUGGAUAGCAACAGUAGCUACCAUAAUGUCUCUUUUCUUUGAAAUAGUUGAGCAUGGGCAGGCCUUUAAUAGAGAAACAUAAUCCUGCUGUGCUUUGCUUUAAAGAGCACAAAUGGAGGUUGGAGAUCUGCCCAGACCCUUCCCUCCCUCAACCAGGGUAGCCUGGAAGGCGAGAGCCCUGAGCUGAGGCAUCAGGAACUCACAGUAUUGUCUCCCAGCAACCUAUAAUCACAAAGGAUGGUGAAUGUUUAAA
Molecule: long non-coding RNA, 2070 nt
Organism: Cavia porcellus (domestic guinea pig)
Lineage: Eukaryota; Metazoa; Chordata; Mammalia; Rodentia; Caviidae
Exons: 3
Source: RefSeq, a predicted model, not a curated record